UUUUCCGGUUGAUCCUGCCGGACCUGACUGCUAUCGGAUUGAUACUAAGCCAUGCGAGUCAUUGUAGCAAUACAAGGCAGACGGCUCAGUAACGCGUAGUCAACCUAACCUAUGGACGGGAAUAACCUCGGGAAACUGAGAAUAAUGCCCGAUAGAACACUAUAUCUGGAAUGGUUUGUGUUCCAAAUGAUUUAUCGCCGUAGGAUGGGACUGCGGCCUAUCAGUUUGUUGGUGAGGUAAUGGCCCACCAAGACUAUUACAGGUACGGGCUCUGAGAGGAGUAGCCCGGAGAUGGGUACUGAGACACGGACCCAGGCCCUAUGGGGCGCAGCAGGCGAGAAAACUUUGCAAUGUGCGAAAGCACGACAAGGUUAAUCCGAGUGGUUUCUGCUAAAGGAACCUUUUGUCGGUCCUAGAAACACCGAUGAAUAAGGGGUGGGCAAGUUCUGGUGUCAGCCGCCGCGGUAAAACCAGCACCUCAAGUGGUCAGGAUGAUUAUUGGGCCUAAAGCAUCCGUAGCCUGCUUUGUUAGUUUUCGGUUAAAUCUAUACGCUCAACGUAUAGGCUGCCGGGAAUACUGCAAAGCUAGGGAGUGGGAGAGGUAGACGGUACUCGGUAGGAAGGGGUAAAAUCCUUUGAUCUAUUGAUGACCACCUGUGGCGAAGGCGGUCUACCAGAACACGUCCGACGGUGAGGGAUGAAAGCUGGGGGAGCAAACCGGAUUAGAUACCCGGGUAGUCCCAGCCGUAAACCAUGCAAACUCAGUGAUGCAUUGGCUUGUGGCCAAUGCAGUGCUGCAGGGAAGCCGUUAAGUUUGCCGCCUGGGAAGUACGUACGCAAGUAUGAAACUUAAAGGAAUUGGCGGGGGAGCACCACAAGGGGUGAAGCCUGCGGUUCAAUUGGAUUCAACGCCUGAA
Molecule: ribosomal RNA, 917 nt
Filed under: uncultured archaeon
Lineage: Archaea
Description: bacterial SSU rRNA
Rfam family: Archaeal small subunit ribosomal RNA
Source: RNAcentral